Molecule: non-coding RNA, 68 nt
Organism: Gymnothorax javanicus (giant moray)
Lineage: Eukaryota; Metazoa; Chordata; Actinopteri; Anguilliformes; Muraenidae
Source: the annotation of a GenBank genome assembly
GUUUCUGUAGUGUAGUGGUUAUCAUGAUCGCCUCAAUUGAAGGUCCUUGCUCAGUACGGGCGGAAACA